UUUGUCAUUUUCAAUACUAUAUCAUUAUCUCUCUCCCGUUUCCCUCUUCUCAUUCUAAACCCCACAAACCCUAACACCUCUCAUUCUUCAUAAUUUGCAUAUCUAUACUUUUCCAUUUCAAAUCAAUACUCUACUUUCCUAUAUGCUUUUAACCGAUUACUCUUUUUCUCUCUUUCCAUGAACUCUUCCUUUUCUCUGUUUCCUUUUCUCUUUUCCAUUCAAACCCUAGCGAAUUCUUCACUAUGUGCACGGUCAAAACAACCGCAAAUUCAUUCAAUCUCUCAAGAAUUUGUUCACUGAAAAUGGAUAGCAUAUUCAAAUUUAGGGUUUUGGAAAAGUGUUGAUAUUGUGAGAGUUUCUGAGUUAAAAAGAAUGAAAUCUGCAAGGAUCUCUGGUUUAAGAUUUGUAGUAAGUAUUUUUUUGUACCUUUCUAUGUUUUACUUAUCUUUUUCUCUCCUUAUGAUUAUUUGUGUUUUAUUAGAUUUAGAUGCAUUUCAUGUGUAGUUUUUUCCAGAUCUGGAAAUUAGAAAGGAGAAGCAUAUCAGUGUUAUGCAAGAAAAACAAAAGUGACAUUGGAAAUUAGAAAGGAGAAGCAUCUCAGUUUUUUCAUGUGUAGUUUUUUUUUCAGAUCUUAGUGGAUUGUGAUGCAUAAUGUUUGACAUUGAUGUUGCAAGGCAUUGCAUUUAUGGUUAUGAAGGCAAUAUCCAGUAGCACAUAACAGGUUUUUCCUUAUGAUGUUGGUGAUGCUUUAUGUGUGAAAUGUUUCUUGAUGAUGUUUGGUUACUGUUAGCAUUUAUGCAGUAGGAUUCGGUAAUUGGUUUGUGUGUGUAUGCUAACAUGUUGUACUGCAGGUUAAUAAGGAGGUUUGUAGGGUUACAUCAUGACUAUUGCAGGAGAUUUACACAUUUUGAUGUUGAAAUCUUUGUUGAAGAAGUACUUGUGAAGUAUGGAGAGUGGCACUUGGAACAACUGAAACUUUGAAAGGUUCAUAUGUUUGUGUGUGUUCACAUGGAUCACUUGAUUGCAGUUGUGGAGUUUGUGGACCUGUUUUAAUAAGUCGAUUUAGGAAACACAUUGAGCUACAUGGUCUACAAGAUAAAGUAUUUGUUAGCCUAUGCUCGCACGUUGGAAGACAUAAGUAUGCACGAAAUGUCAUUAUAUUUGGAUCAAUGACCUUAUGUACUUAUAGACAAUGGUAUUGAUUACAUAAAAUGGUUUUUUUAUAUUGCAGCUAAAUAUAACUAUUUUUUAUUUAUAUUUAGCUACUGAAAUGUUUUAAUUACUUUUAGAUUAUUCAGAAGUUGGAUUCUUUUUGUUUUUCCUCUAGAUUAGGUUUUGGGAUUACCAUUGCAACACAUACCCCUUUUCAUUUGGACCAAGUCUCUGAAUCAGGUAAGCAGAAGUUAAUACUCAGAAUUGAAGUUUUAUGCCUACACGAUAAAGAUUGGAGAGGAGUACACGAAGUAAUCAUCGACAGCAAGAGACCAAGGUCCAACGACACUAAGAGAACAUCAUGUCAUCAUUGCUUACAUUGUUGUUGCAACUGGAAGCUCUCUCUUUGGAUAUGAUGUUGGAAUUUCAGCUUCUGCAAUAUUUCAUUCUCUUCCACCUUCACUUUUAUGUUCUGCAAUAGUUUUUAUAGAAAUUUGAUGCAUGUGAUAUGAUUAAAAGGAGGAGUUAUUUCUAUGAAUGUAUUUGUUCUCAAGUUUUUCCCCUCGGUGUACGAACAUAAAAGAUCACACACACGAAAACAACUACUGCGGGUAUAACAAUCAAGUCCUUGCUAUAUUUACUUCUGUUUUAUAUUUUUUGUUUUAGUUGCACCCUUGGUGGCGACGCUUGCUACAAGAAAGUACAGAUGGAGGACAAGUAUCAUAGCAGGCCGUAUCAUCUUUCUCAUCGGAUUUGUUCUGAAUGUUGUUGCAGUUAAUCUAGCUAUGCUAAUUAUAGGUCAAAUUAUGCUUGGCGUUGGCAUUGGUUUGGGAGAACAGGUAGUGAAAUGAGGAUCAAAGGAAAAAGGAAGGAAGGUUCUUGAAAAUAUCAUAGGAACUAAUGAUGUUGAUGCAGAGUUUGAAGAUAUGGUUGAAGGAGGAAGAGGAGAGAAGAAAUCACAAAUAAUUAAUAGUCAAUAAAUAAGUUUGAUUAUUUUGUAAACAAAAUAAAUUUACUUUGAAUAGUCAAUAAAUAAGUUUGAUUAUUUUGUAAACAAAAUAAGUUUACUUUUAAUAGUCAAUAAAUAAGUUGGUUAUUUUGUGAAUAAAUGUGAAGUAUAAAUGUAUCUACUGAGGAAGUAUAAAUGUGAAGUAUAAAUGUAUUCUUUUGCACUGUGACCCGAUUAAACGAAAUCAGCUGAGGAAGUAUUCUUUCAAAUUCGAGAACGCGUGGCUAAAAAAUGAUGAACUAGCAGAUGUGGUAAAGAGAGGUUGGCAGGCUACUAAUAAUAAUGGGGUGCUAAACCGAAUAAAUAAUUGUGCGAAAGAGUUAGCAA
Molecule: long non-coding RNA, 2488 nt
Organism: Vicia villosa (hairy vetch)
Lineage: Eukaryota; Viridiplantae; Streptophyta; Magnoliopsida; Fabales; Fabaceae
Exons: 3
Source: RefSeq, a predicted model, not a curated record